Molecule: non-coding RNA, 73 nt
Organism: Ixodes scapularis (black-legged tick)
Lineage: Eukaryota; Metazoa; Arthropoda; Arachnida; Ixodida; Ixodidae
Source: Rfam
UCCUGGUUGGCUCACUUGGUAGAGCACUUCACUGAAAAUGGGAAGGUCCCCGGUUCGAUACCAGAAGCAGGAU